UACGGAGGAUCCAAGCGUUAUCCGGAUUUAUUGGGUUUAAAGGGUGCGUAGGUGGUUUAUUAAGUCAGGGGUGAAAGACGGCAGCUUAACUGUCGCAGUGCCUUUGAUACUGAUGAACUUGAAUGAACUAGAGGUAGGCGGAAUGUGACAAGUAGCGGUGAAAUGCAUAGAUAUGUCACAGAACACCAAUUGCGAAGGCAGCUUACUAUGGUUUUAUUGACACUGAGGCACGAAAGCGUGGGGAUCAAACAGG
Molecule: ribosomal RNA, 253 nt
Filed under: uncultured bacterium
Lineage: Bacteria
Description: partial 16S ribosomal RNA
Rfam family: Bacterial small subunit ribosomal RNA
Source: RNAcentral